Long non-coding RNA from Scleropages formosus (Asian bonytongue), 310 nucleotides. RefSeq lists it as uncharacterized. The record is from RefSeq and is a predicted model, not a curated record. The transcript is spliced from 4 exons. NCBI's taxonomy places the organism in Eukaryota, Metazoa, Chordata, Actinopteri, Osteoglossiformes, Osteoglossidae.
UAAAAGAUGGAGUCGCAGCGCAUGUUUCUCUCUUUUGCUCAGGACAUACUAAGAUGUGGGCAUUAUUAUUAAGAUCUGCUGCUUUAUCAUCAAGAUGGUGGUCACAGAGUUCUGAAGUCACAGGGACCAGAAUGCUUAAAGGAAGAAUCCAGAGGUAACGGUCAUCCCUGUUGUAGGAUGGCUAUGGAUCAGACAACAGGUAAAACAGCUUUUUUUUUUUAUCAUUUCUAUUUGUUUUAAGCAAAUGCUUAAUGAUGAUUUCACAAAUCAAUGGGAAUCUCUCUGAAAAAAGAGUGAUGCGUCUAUUGUG